Molecule: ribosomal RNA, 128 nt
Organism: Ochotona princeps (American pika)
Lineage: Eukaryota; Metazoa; Chordata; Mammalia; Lagomorpha; Ochotonidae
Source: Ensembl
GUCUACGGCCAUACCACCCUGAACACGCCCGAUUUCGUCUGAUCUCGGAAGCUAAGCAGGGUCUGGCCUGGUUUGUACUUGGAUGGGAGAAAGUUAACUCACCAUGUAAGAACAAUACUUUCUGGCUU